Peromyscus eremicus (cactus mouse) is the source of this 763-nucleotide long non-coding RNA. RefSeq lists it as uncharacterized. Lineage: Eukaryota; Metazoa; Chordata; Mammalia; Rodentia; Cricetidae. The transcript is spliced from 2 exons. The record is from RefSeq and is a predicted model, not a curated record.
CCGAUAGUGCCACCAUACUAUGAUCCUGUCAGGAUAUCAACCCAUUUAGAUGGGAGCCCUCAGAUCCAAAGACUUCCCCAACAGAAGCCUGCGAGGGACGCUCCGUAGUCAAACCAUAGCAACCGUCUCCGCAGUCCUCAGUGUUCACAUGGAUACAGCCCAUGAACCAUCCCAUGGCAGGUGAGGUUUGCUUGGGACUCUCCUCAUACUAACAGUGGUCCCCCGCCUCCAGCUACAGAGCAUCAAGGCUAAAGGAAGAUGGAAAGAAGCAGGAUCCUCCAUUGUCAGAUGGGAGGUGUGUGGUGAGGACGGAGCAGCAGAUAGACCAUGUGGUCCAAGGACAAGGUUAGCCCAUGGAGGAGGCCACCAGACCAGACCCGGAGUCUGAGAGUCCACAGUGUGUACAGCUCAUCAAGCCGGAGAUACUGUGGUCUACACCAGCAGAAGGGAAGGGAGGCUGGGAGCAAGAUGGAGCAACACUCAGGAACUCGUUCCUAAGGAGUGACGAGAUCAGAUGGAGUCCAACAGAAUUUGGCUACCCUGGUGAAAAGCCAGGAGUUAUCUGUGGAUGUCCUCUGUGCGGUGGCUAUGAUAGAUCAUGUUUUAAAACCCUGACUUCUUAAGUCUGUAGGUCACAGCUCCAUACGGGGUCACUUACCUGAAUGUGGAGGUAACAAAAAAAAAAUGCACAACAGUAAAAUGUUUCUGAACAUACAGCUACCAAAAAUUAACUCAAAUUCAAAUAUAUACCAGAUCGAAGGUG